CAACAUGAUGUGAUCACAGCAGCUUCUGUAGGUCUGUGGACAGUUAGAUGUGCUACCAUUAGCACGAGCAGACAGCUGUGAUGAGCUUUUGGACUUUAACAGCAGCUGUUGGCUCCAUUUGCAGCUGACUCAGAGCAGAUGCUGAUCUUCCAUCAGUCCUUCUGUUUCUCCCACAGAGCAUCUUCCAUGAUUAGAGCCAGUGUGGAUAACCACGUUUUAAGAGCUUUCUUAGUGUGCUCUCCUUUUUCUUCCCUUCUGUCUCAGAGGGAAAGUCCUGUUCUCACUGUCCUGUGUCCUGCUGUUGCUUAAAACUUGAGCUUCCUCAGAUCCAUCAUGGUUUAGUAAGAGGACAGAAAGCCUCCAAUAAACAUUUCUACAUGUUUAUAAAGCCCAGACUCAAUUUCUGCUUUUGUUUCAUCCAACCUUCCUCACACGAUUUCACUUCUCCUUCCUGAUCUCAGUAUCACAUGAUUGCAUUAUCACAUGAUCAUCUCCAGCACAAACAGCACAAUCUGCUGCUCCAUAGUUCACAGCAAUGGACUCACAGCUAGAUCAAUGAGGCUGACCAGAACCUGAGAAUCAGAGCAGCAGUACAGAAGCCAGCUGUGCCAGAGAGGACCGAGCUUCAGGCCCAGAGGCCUGAGGGCAUCCCACCCGCCGGAAGGAACCCAGCCGGGCCACAGGCGCCUGGCCCCGCCAAUCAGCUACCAGGAGUGAGCCGGUACAUACAUGAGCGCCCAGCCCCAGAUGACAAGGACCACCAACACACCAACGUCUGAGGGCAUCAGCCACCGGCAGGGAGUGUGGUAGAAAGUGUGUGUGAGCUGAGCAGCAUGGAUCAGUGUGAGGACAGAGAGGAGGGAGCCCCUCCCUCUAAAAGCACUCUGUGUGGGGAACAUGAGAGCCAGACCAAAGCUCAGAGG
This is a long non-coding RNA of Haplochromis burtoni (Burton's mouthbrooder), 923 nucleotides long. RefSeq lists it as uncharacterized. The transcript has 3 exons. NCBI's taxonomy places the organism in Eukaryota, Metazoa, Chordata, Actinopteri, Cichliformes, Cichlidae. The record is from RefSeq and is a predicted model, not a curated record.